This 460-nucleotide ribosomal RNA is filed under the name uncultured bacterium. RNAcentral describes it as "partial 16S ribosomal RNA". It matches the Rfam family "Bacterial small subunit ribosomal RNA", at positions 338 to 795 of the family's 1533-position model. The record is from RNAcentral.
CCUACGGGUGGCAGCAGUGAGGAAUAUUGGUCAAUGGACGAGAGUCUGAACCAGCCAAGUCGCGUGAAGGAUGACUGCCCUAUGGGUUGUAAACUUCUUUUAUAUGGGAAUAAAAUGUUCCACGUGUGGGAUUUUGUAUGUACCAUAUGAAUAAGGAUCGGCUAACUCCGUGCCAGCAGCCGCGGUAAUACGGAGGAUCCGAGCGUUAUCCGGAUUUAUUGGGUUUAAAGGGAGCGUAGGUGGUUUGUUAAGUCAGUUGUGAAAGUUUGCGGCUCAACCGUAAAAUUGCAGUUGAAACUGGCAGUCUUGAGUACAGUAGAGGUGAGCGGAAUUCGUGGUGUAGCGGUGAAAUGCUUAGAUAUCACGAAGAACUCCGAUUGCGAAGGCAGUUCACUGGACUGCAACUGACACUGAGGCUCGAAAGUGUGGGUAUCAAACAGGAUUAGAUACCCGAGUAGUC